This 439-nucleotide ribosomal RNA is filed under the name uncultured bacterium. RNAcentral's name for it is "partial 16S ribosomal RNA". It matches the Rfam family "Bacterial small subunit ribosomal RNA", at positions 339 to 795 of the family's 1533-position model. The record is from RNAcentral.
CUACGGGUCGCUCCAGUGAGGAAUAUUGCACAAUGGGGGGAACCCUGAUGCAGCAACGCCGUGUGGAGGAUGACGCAUUUCGGUGUGUAAACUCCUUUUAUAUGUCAAGAAAAUGACGGUAGCAUAUGAAUAAGCACCGGCUAACUCCGUGCCAGCAGCCGCGGUAAUACGGAGGGUGCAAGCGUUACUCGGAAUCACUGGGCGUAAAGGACGCGUAGGCGGGUUGGAAAGUCAGGUGUGAAAUCCUACAGCUUAACUGUAGAACUGCACUUGAAACUUCUAAUCUAGAGUAUGGGAGGGGGAGAUGGAAUUAGUGGUGUAGGGGUAAAGUCCGUAGAUAUCACUAGGAAUACCUAAAGCGAAGGCGAUCUCCUGGAACAUUACUGACGCUAAGGCGUGAAAGCGUGGGGAGCAAACAGGAUUAGAUACCCCAGUAGUC